GACGAACGCUGGCGGCGUGCUUAACACAUGCAAGUCGAACGAUGAAGCGCUGUCUUUUUGGUGGUGUGGAUUAGUGGCGAACGGGUGAGUAAUACGCGGGAAACCUGCCCCUCUGCUUCUGGAUAACCUUUGGAAACGGUGUCUAAUCCCUGAUUUG
This 157-nucleotide ribosomal RNA is filed under the name uncultured Actinomycetaceae bacterium. Its description in RNAcentral is "partial 16S ribosomal RNA". It matches the Rfam family "Bacterial small subunit ribosomal RNA", at positions 28 to 177 of the family's 1533-position model. Lineage: Bacteria; Bacillati; Actinomycetota; Actinomycetes; Actinomycetales; Actinomycetaceae. The record is from RNAcentral.